CCGGCGACCGGCGGACGGGUGCGUAACGCGUAUGUAACCUACCUUUGACAGGGGGAUAACAUCGAGAAAUUGGUACUAAUACCCCAUAACAUCACCGGAGGCAUCUUCGGUGGUUGAAAACUCAGGUGGUCAGAGAUGGACAUGCGUUGUAUUAGCUAGUUGGUGAGGUAACGGCUCACCAGGCGACGAUACAUAGGGGGACUGAGAGGUCAACCCCCCACAUUGGUACUGAGACACGGACCAAACUCCUACGGGAGGCAGCAG
RNAcentral lists this ribosomal RNA (264 nucleotides) under uncultured bacterium. Its description in RNAcentral is "partial 16S ribosomal RNA". It matches the Rfam family "Bacterial small subunit ribosomal RNA", at positions 88 to 354 of the family's 1533-position model. The record is from RNAcentral.